RNAcentral lists this ribosomal RNA (322 nucleotides) under uncultured Peregrinia. RNAcentral's name for it is "SSU rRNA". The stretch from base 63 to 322 matches the Rfam family "Eukaryotic small subunit ribosomal RNA", at positions 694 to 955 of the family's 1831-position model. Lineage: Eukaryota; Cercozoa; Imbricatea; Thaumatomonadida; Thaumatomastigidae. The record is from RNAcentral.
GAUUUCUGGUCUAGUGCGCCUGGCCCACGGCCGUUAGGCUUGUGAGUGCCGGUGCGCGCUUGCCAUCCUUUCUAGUCAGUGGCUCUGUCCUUUACUGGUCGGAGUCAUGGGCUAGAUCUAUUACUUUGAAAAAAUUAGAGUGUUUAAAGCAGGCUUGCGCUAUGAAUACAUUAGCAUGGAAUAAUAAUUUAGGACUUUGGUCUUAUUUUGUUGGUUUCUAGGACUAAAGUAAUGAUUGAUAGGGACAGUUGGGGGUGCUAGUAUUCAGCGGCCAGAGGUGAAAUUCUUGGAUUCGCUGAAGACUAACUUAUGCGAAAGCAUU